RNAcentral lists this small nucleolar RNA (136 nucleotides) under Mus caroli (Ryukyu mouse). Its description in RNAcentral is "predicted gene, 22382 (MGP_CAROLIEiJ_G0036712.1)". It matches the Rfam family "Small nucleolar RNA SNORA40". From Rfam's summary of the family: The snoRNA ACA 40 belongs to the H/ACA family of snoRNAs and guides the pseudouridylation of 28S rRNA subunit at position U4565. The record is from RNAcentral. Lineage: Eukaryota; Metazoa; Chordata; Mammalia; Rodentia; Muridae.
AGAAUUUGUGUAUGCAUGCUUAUUGAGCUAGUUGGCGGGGGGCGGGGGAGAAUAUAAAAGACAGGUGCAAAAAUGAAUCCUCCUGCAAACCAGAACUCAUUGUUCAGCAUGAGUUUUGAUACCUGUAAGAGGAAAU